This is a long non-coding RNA of Bombus impatiens (common eastern bumble bee), 1566 nucleotides long. RefSeq lists it as uncharacterized. NCBI's taxonomy places the organism in Eukaryota, Metazoa, Arthropoda, Insecta, Hymenoptera, Apidae. The record is from RefSeq and is a predicted model, not a curated record. The transcript is spliced from 2 exons.
AAAUUCUCUUCUGAGGACACUCCUCGUUCCAUGAGACAUGUCAUAUUGGAACAUCUUGGAAGAUUUUUUUUAAUCUAUUAUACCAUUGCAAUGAUCAGUAGCGUAUCAUCGGAAAGUUUCCCCACCAUCCACAGUCAAACACACUGGUACACGGUCUGUGGUCGACACUGUUGCAUCCUGAAUCAUCAAUUCACUGAUUAGAUAGUCUCUGUAAUACUAUAGGGGAAGCAGGGUAUAUUUAAGAUUGUAGAUCCCUCUUGGGACUGGAAGAGCAAGGAUGAAAGAGUUUAAUAGUAUGCUCUUGAGGCUGAUGAUUGUACUUAUAAAGAACGGAGAGUACGUGGUGAAUGCUAUACAACAAUCUUAUUUGUUUUCUUUAAAUUAAAACUGGUUCUGAGGCUUAGGAAAUGCGAGACCUUAAACCUGUUGUCGAUCGAAAGUCAACAUAACAUAGUGUCGCAACUGUCACGACAUACAAUGUACAACCCGAUUCGGUAGCCAACGAUAUUUUUACGACUAUAGAUGCAUAGGAUCCGAGUGCCAAAUAUAUCUGGAUCUUCAAGAUUUUCGGCAUAAUUCAUUACAGAAUGAUAAAAUCGCGUAUCGUUAUCUAGAACCAUAAUUUAAGUAGGAGCUCUUCCAACACUUACUAUAAUGUAAACAAAAUUUAUUUAGCAUGUCAAAUCGUGGUGUCAUUUUCGUAUGGUUUGAUUACGUCUCGCAGACGUCGCAUUUGCAUCGCAAUUGCAGCAGAGCCAAUUCUAAAAUUGUCCCUACGAACUACGAAUAGUUAAAAUGCGCCGAAAAUAUCUUUUAGAUGAGAAAACAACGUUUUUCUUUAUGGCAAGUAAUCUAUUAGUUCAUACUGCGUCAUGCUGUCGGGCUUUUUGUAGCCGGCGUCUAAGUUAUGUUAGUAUUGUUUUUUUCGUUCAAUAAAAAGAAACUGGAUCUGUUGUUACGUAAAAAGGAACUAAUAAUAUUAUGUAUGAAGCAUACACCAAAGCGUAAAAAAACUAUAAGUUUUAAUAGAAUUCAGCACUUUGGCUACUUAUCAUUAAAAGACUGGACGAAACAAGAAAAUUCUCAUAAAUAAUAAUCGCGAGAAGAAAUGAACAGUUUGUUAGAAAUUAUAGGGGGGGGGGGAGAUUCUAGCAAUUUCUAUGGUGCAAUAUUACGUCGCCAUUUAUAUACUUUCGCUUUUCUCUCGCUGUGAUCGCACAACACGCGUAUACAUGCAGCGAUAAGGUUGAUUAGGUAGACAGUUUUCUACGAUAGAAUCCUCCGUUCAUAACCCACGUCUUUCCAUUCUAGCUUCUCUACGUCUAUUUGUAUUAUCAUAUCUGUUAGCGAGUUCCAUUUUCGCCUAUACUAUAUUGUUCCUGAAAAUCAGAGAAUUUCAUAUUCAAACAAAAAGGUCAACAUUUUCUGAAGCACUUACGAUGUAGAUAUUAAUUAAAUUAUUGGAAUAUUAUACUUUUACGAUUUCUUUUCUAAUAUAAAUCCAGUCAAUAAUUUUAAUUCACGGAAAAUUCCACUAUCGCGUGCUUGCGAAUCAGAGACAGAAAA